CAUCGGGCCCUCCAGCCUCCCGCAGCGUCCCGCAGCGCCCUGGCGGGCAGCAGCCUGGGUGGUAGCGGCGCGCUUGGUGCUCGGCGCCAGCACCUGCUACUGCCAUCUACAGGCUGAGGCGGGGCCCGCGGCGAGGCGGCCGGGGGCAUCGGCUGAGCCCCUCUGGAUCUGCAGGCUCUGUUACUGUCAAGGUCCCAUCUUCUCCUCAAACCUAUUUACAGUUAUCAGGAAAAGAGGUUGAUAUGAACCCAGAAGUCAAUGUUCAGGAAGUGGCUGAAGAUGAUAAAGAUGAUGGUGUAACAAUUAUUGAUCAGGUCUCCUUCUGGCUGCGCUGGACCUGCGCACGCGGGGGACUUCCGCAUCGGGCCCUCCAGCCUCCCGCAGCGUCCCGCAGCGCCCUGGCGGGCAGCAGCCUGGGUGGUAGCGGCGCGCUUGGUGCUCGGCGCCAGCACCUGCUACUGCCAUCUACAGGCUGAGGCGGGGCCCGCGGCGAGGCGGCCGGGGGCAUCGGCUGAGCCCCUCUGGAUCUGCAGGCUCUGUUACUGUCAAGGUCCCAUCUUCUCCUCAAACCUAUUUACAGUUAUCAGGAAAAGAGGUUGAUAUGAACCCAGAAGUCAAUGUUCAGGAAGUGGCUGAAGAUGAUAAAGAUGAUGGUGUAACAAUUAUUGAUCAGGUCUCCUUCUGGCUGCGCUGGACCUGCGCACGCGGG
Molecule: long non-coding RNA, 709 nt
Organism: Perognathus longimembris pacificus (Pacific pocket mouse)
Lineage: Eukaryota; Metazoa; Chordata; Mammalia; Rodentia; Heteromyidae
Exons: 5
Source: RefSeq, a predicted model, not a curated record